RNAcentral lists this ribosomal RNA (164 nucleotides) under Cardamine x insueta. RNAcentral's name for it is "5.8S ribosomal RNA". It matches the Rfam family "5.8S ribosomal RNA". Rfam says of the family: 5.8S ribosomal RNA (5.8S rRNA) is a component of the large subunit of the eukaryotic ribosome. It is transcribed by RNA polymerase I as part of the 45S precursor that also contains 18S and 28S rRNA. The record is from RNAcentral. Lineage: Eukaryota; Viridiplantae; Streptophyta; Magnoliopsida; Brassicales; Brassicaceae.
AAAACGACUCUCGGCAACGGAUAUCUCGGCUCUCGCAUCGAUGAAGAACGUAGCGAAAUGCGGUACUUGGUGUGAAUUGCAGAAUCCCGUGAACCAUCGAGUCUUUGAACGCAAGUUGCGCCCCAAGCCUUCUGGCCGAGGGCACGUCUGCCUGGGUGUCACAA